CCAAAGGCUCUUUUAAGAACCAUUCACAAUGCAAUAAGAGUAUUAU
Non-coding RNA from Salmo salar (Atlantic salmon), 46 nucleotides. Lineage: Eukaryota; Metazoa; Chordata; Actinopteri; Salmoniformes; Salmonidae. The record is from Rfam.